This 99-nucleotide microRNA precursor is filed under the name Trifolium pratense (red clover). RNAcentral's name for it is "pre miRNA mir-399". It matches the Rfam family "mir-399 microRNA precursor family". From Rfam's summary of the family: mir-399 was identified in both Arabidopsis thaliana and Oryza sativa computationally and was later experimentally verified. mir-399 is thought to target mRNAs coding for a phosphatase transporter. The mature sequence is excised from the 3' arm of the hairpin. The record is from Rfam by way of RNAcentral. Lineage: Eukaryota; Viridiplantae; Streptophyta; Magnoliopsida; Fabales; Fabaceae.
AGGUGAAUUACUGGGCAAUGACUUCUUUGGCAGAAGUUGAAUCAGAGCCGAGAAGCUAACAAACUUACUGCCAAAGAAGAUUUGCCCCGCAAUUCACUC